AUGGCCGGCGUCCAAGAAGCAUCCCGUGGCGACGUUAGCCGGCGACAACACGCGCGCCGCCGGGUGCUAGUGUUCCCGCUGCCGUUCCAGGGUCACAUCAACCCGAUGCUGCAGCUCGCCGAUGUGCUCCACGGCCGGGGCCUCGCCGUCACCGUCCUCCACACCCAGUUCAACGCGCUGGACCCCGCGCUCCACCCUGAGUUCACCUUCGUCGCGGUGCCCGACGGCGUCCCCGCCGACGUCGCCGCCUCGGGGAGCAUCAUCCCCAUCAUCCUCGCCAUGAACGCCGCCAUGGAGGCGUCGCCGGCCGUCCGCGACGUCCUCGCGUCGGUCCUCGCGGACGACGGUCAGCCCCCCGCCGCGUGCCUGUUCAUCGACGCCAACCUCCUCGCCGUGCAGAAGGCCGCCUCGGCACUCGGGCUCCCCACGAUGGUGCUGCGUACCGGCAGCGCCGCCUGCUUCAGCUGCUUCCUGGCCUAUCCUAUGCUCCACCACAACGGUUAUCUACCUCCAAAAGAAUCACAGCUCUACACGCCGGUGAAAGAGCUGCCGCCGCUGCGUGUCAGGGACCUGUUCCGCACGAGCACCAGCGACCACAAAAUGGUGCGCAAAGUUCUAGCCCGAGCCUCUGAAACCGUGAGGAACUCCUUCGGACUCGUCGUCAACACGUUCGACGCUCUGGAGACCGCUGAACUGGACAGGAUACGCCGCGAACUGGACGUGGCCUUCGUGCUCGCCGCCGGCCCGCUCCACAAGCUCUCCUCCCGGAGCACCGGGAGCAGCCUGCUGCGCGAGGACCGUAGCUGCAUGGAGUGGUUGGACAAGCAGGUCCCGGGGUCCGUGCUGUAUGUGAGCUUCGGGAGCUUGGCAUCCAUGGAUGGCGGCGAGCUCUCGGAGAUCGCGUGGGGUUUGGCCAACAGUGGCCAACCUUUUCUGUGGGUUGUCCGCCGUGACCUCGUGCGGGGAUCCGACGGGCCAGGCCUGCCGGAAGGAUUUGAUCGUGCGGUGGAGGGCAGAGGCAAGGUGAUCCCGUGGGCCCCGCAGCAGGAGGUGCUGGCCCACUUUGCAGUGGGUGGGUUCUGGACCCACAACGGCUGGAACUCGACACUGGAGAGCAUCAGUGAGGGUCUCCCGAUGAUCUGCAUGCCUCACUUUGCGGAUCAAAUGAUGAACACAAGGUACGUGGAGGCAGUGUGGGGCGUAGGGUUUGAGCUCGAGGGCAAGCCAGAGAGAAACAAAAUCGCCAAGGCAAUUCAAAAGCUUAUGAAUGAGAGGGAAGGAGAAGUGGCUAGGGAAAAAGCAAGAGAACUUAAGAAAAAAGUAGUGUCGUGCUUGAAAAGUGGUGGGUCUUCUCUGCUAGCUAUUGAUAAACUUGUCGAGCAUAUAUCGUCUUUGUAA
This 1398-nucleotide ribosomal RNA is filed under the name Triticum aestivum (bread wheat). RNAcentral describes it as "partial small subunit ribosomal RNA". The record is from RNAcentral. Lineage: Eukaryota; Viridiplantae; Streptophyta; Magnoliopsida; Poales; Poaceae.